GGCGGUAUAGCUCAGUGGUAGAGCACAUGCUUAGCAUGCAUGAGACCCUGGGUUCAAUCCCCAGUACUGCCA
Molecule: transfer RNA, 72 nt
Filed under: Bos taurus (domestic cattle)
Lineage: Eukaryota; Metazoa; Chordata; Mammalia; Artiodactyla; Bovidae
Also listed under: 4 other names
Description: tRNA-Ala (AGC) (tRNA-Ala-AGC-7-1)
Rfam family: tRNA
About the family: Transfer RNA (tRNA) molecules are approximately 80 nucleotides in length. Their secondary structure includes four short double-helical elements and three loops (D, anti-codon, and T loops).
Source: Rfam by way of RNAcentral